UCCAGCUCUCUAUAUAAGUGUCAUCUUCCCAGCUGCCAAGAACUGUGGCCGGAGGCUUCUCUUGUUUUAGUUUUUUAGCGUUCAUUCAUAGUUUAAACCUGCUGAAUUCCACCUAUUUGAUUAUUUUCUUCUCGAGUUUGUUUCUCAAAAAGCUAAGAGGGACGGUGACGAUUUCAUCGUGAAAAAGGUCUCGUUCGUCGUAAUUGGCUAUUUGUUUAUAGCCUUGCCGACCAUCCUGAUAUAUCACCACCCAUAUUCCGAGUCCCCUCUUUUUAUUUUUUAUUAUCAUUUUUUUUUAAGCUUUAGAAAACGGUUUGCCAUUGUUAAUCUGGUGACCUUAGUUUUCUCCUCCUUUUUAUGAAAGAUCUUUUUCGUUUUUUUUUUUGGGUUGAUCCAUUAAUUGGCCUAUGAUUAAAUUGGUUAAAUAUAGACAAGCAUAUGUCUGAAUUUAUACAUGUCGAGUAGACUAAUCUUCUCUAUGAGGCCGAUUGCAACCCAUUUUUCCUGUUAAUUGUUUCUGUAUUUUCUUUUUCGGGUUGUAAGAUUAUUUCAUAUUUUCUCAGCCGAUGAAGAAACGAACGGUAUUUCCAUAGCGUAUGAGAAUUCCUGAUUACAUAAUACCACUACUGCCUUCCUUCUGAGGCAAUUCAUGUUUUCUCCUAUAGUUUUUUUAACCCAUUUGGUGCUUUGAUCUGUUCGGUGGGUUUUCAUUUGAUUUCACUUUUGUUAUUUUCUUGUCCAAACCGGCCUUAUAUUCAAAUAUGCAUUUGUUGUUACAGGAAAUGCUUAAAAGCGCAGAGUUCAUAGCUUACAUGUUCCGUAUAAGCUGAGAAACCCUACUGCAAAGGCGUUGCGUUCUUCAUUGGAGUUUCCAUACCAGAGGGGCGCGUCAACGAAAGCAUAAAUCAAGUUCAAUCCACUGCUCAGAUGCAGUUUUCAUUGCAGGCUGUGCAUUAAUUUGAUGGUCGUAGCUUGCUUUCGCAUUGGAUUGAGCCAUUUGUUUUAUGAAAGUUUUUACCUAGUGCAUAAAUGUGUGUGCGAUUUGUGAAAAUUAGAAAAAUGUGAAUGUUGCUUCUUACUGGUGAAGUCUCUCUGACUGAAAUUGGGAGAUGUUCUAGUUUCCGAAGCAUAGAAUAAUUGUGCCAGUAUUAAACAGCGCCGUGUAAUUCAUUGUUCUUGCACUGUGUUACCUGUCUCCUGGUAUAUUCUAUAAGAAAUCUACCAGUAAAUCGUAGGGUUUUAAUUUGUGAGAUGUUGCAGUGAGAGUGACAAUUUAUAAGAAUGGUCUCGUUCGGCAUAAUGGCAUGAUGACCAUCCUGAUAUAUCACCACCCACAUUCCGAUUUCCGUCAA
Carica papaya (papaya) is the source of this 1352-nucleotide long non-coding RNA. RefSeq lists it as uncharacterized. NCBI's taxonomy places the organism in Eukaryota, Viridiplantae, Streptophyta, Magnoliopsida, Brassicales, Caricaceae. The record is from RefSeq and is a predicted model, not a curated record.